This is a non-coding RNA of Xylogone sp. PMI_703, 86 nucleotides long. The record is from the annotation of a GenBank genome assembly. NCBI's taxonomy places the organism in Eukaryota, Fungi, Ascomycota, Leotiomycetes.
GCGUGAUUAUAGUAGUGGUAUAACUUAUCUGCCCCCCAAGUUCUCUUGCAGAGCAGAAGACGCGAGUUCGAAUCUCGCAUCACGCA